This 71-nucleotide transfer RNA is filed under the name Marmota monax (woodchuck). RNAcentral describes it as "tRNA.Ala". It matches the Rfam family "tRNA". From Rfam's summary of the family: Transfer RNA (tRNA) molecules are approximately 80 nucleotides in length. Their secondary structure includes four short double-helical elements and three loops (D, anti-codon, and T loops). Lineage: Eukaryota; Metazoa; Chordata; Mammalia; Rodentia; Sciuridae. The record is from RNAcentral.
GGGGUUGUGGCUCAGCGGUAGAGCACUCGCCUAGCACAUGAGAGGCCCUGGGUUCGAUCCUCAGCACCACA